GGGGAUUUAGCUCAGUGGUAGAGCGCUUGCAAGGCCCUGGGUUCGAUCCCCAGCUCCA
Rattus norvegicus (Norway rat) is the source of this 58-nucleotide non-coding RNA. The record is from Rfam. NCBI's taxonomy places the organism in Eukaryota, Metazoa, Chordata, Mammalia, Rodentia, Muridae.